Molecule: non-coding RNA, 335 nt
Organism: Xyrichtys novacula (pearly razorfish)
Lineage: Eukaryota; Metazoa; Chordata; Actinopteri; Labriformes; Labridae
Source: the annotation of a GenBank genome assembly
UUCAUGGAAAUGCAAUCAGACAGAGAGGCUAAGGUAGAAGAACUACCACAUCCGCAGUGAAAAAUGAUUAAUAUGAUGAUUGUUACUUCAAGAAAUGAUAAAGACAUGAUCAUAAAUGUUCUUCCUUUAGCUGCGUCACCCUGCUGCUGUCGACGGACUGGCCCAGAGAUCACCGUACAAACAAGCGGCUGCUGGAAGAGAGUAGGUGAGUUGUGUUUAGUCUCUUUGCUAAAGAAAUUAGUCAAAGCUAAAAAGAUGUUUGGUGUCUAGUACCAUGGCUGGGACCCUAUAUGUACUGUUGAUGAAGUUAGGUGCUGUUCUGAGCAUUAUUUGUG